RNAcentral lists this ribosomal RNA (300 nucleotides) under Triticum aestivum (bread wheat). RNAcentral describes it as "partial small subunit ribosomal RNA". The record is from RNAcentral. Lineage: Eukaryota; Viridiplantae; Streptophyta; Magnoliopsida; Poales; Poaceae.
AUGGAUGGAAGGCUGCUGCUGGUCACACAUGUUCUCUCCGCCAUGGUGGUGUUCCAGAUGAUGGUGCUCGACAUGCCGGCUUGGCUCAGAAAACUGAUAGACAAGAUUCGGAGAGGUUUCUUAUGGGAAGGGAAAGAGCUCGCAAGUCGAGGUAAAUGCCUUGUUAGUUGGAAGGUGGUUUGCUGGCCGACAUGUUUCGGAGGUCUAGGGAUACAGGACCUCACUGCUAAAAGUACGGCGCUGCGCAUGAGGUGGCUGUGGUUAUCAUGGACGGAUACAAACAGAGCAUGGCAUGGGCUG